Molecule: ribosomal RNA, 465 nt
Filed under: uncultured bacterium
Lineage: Bacteria
Description: partial 16S ribosomal RNA
Rfam family: Bacterial small subunit ribosomal RNA
Source: RNAcentral
GACGAACGCUGGCGGCGUGCUUAACACAUGCAAGUCGAACGGAAAGGCCCUGCUUGCAGGGUACUCGGGUGGCGAACGGGUGAGUAACACGUGGGUGAUCUGCCCUGCACUUCGGGAUAAGCUUGGGAAACUGGGUCUAAUACCGGAUAGGAGCCAUCUUUAGUGUGGUGGUUGGAAAGUUUUUUCGGUGUAGGAUGAGCUCGCGGCCUAUCAGCUUGUUGGUGGGGUAAUGGCCUACCAAGGCGGCGACGGGUAGCCGGCCUGAGAGGGUGUACGGCCACAUUGGGACUGAGAUACGGCCCAGACUCCUACGGGAGGCAGCAGUGGGGAAUAUUGCACAAUGGGCGCAAGCCUGAUGCAGCGACGCCGCGUGGGGGAUGAAGGCCUUCGGGUUGUAAACUCCUUUCGCUAGGGACGAAGCUUUGUGUGACGGUACCUAGAUAAGAAGCACCGGCUAACUACGUG